This is a long non-coding RNA of Cervus hanglu yarkandensis (Yarkand deer), 708 nucleotides long. The record is from Ensembl. NCBI's taxonomy places the organism in Eukaryota, Metazoa, Chordata, Mammalia, Artiodactyla, Cervidae.
AUGGUAGCUCCACACACCAAGAUGGGCAGAGCGGGUUGGCAGGACAUGUGCUCGUCUGCCCUUCAGCCCUGCAGAGCCACCGCCAGGCCCCCGUGUCCCCUUCCCUGGCUUCCACCAGAUCCCUUCUGGAAGCACUUCCGCCUGCAGCCUGCUGUGGGCACGCAUGAUCUGUCUCACCCCAUUCCUAGGCCCAAGGGAGCUCUCGGGACCCCUAGGCUGAGCUUUGAGAGGCGGCGGGCAGACCAGGGCACGCCCAGCCUUUCCUCUCAGCACUACGCCCCACCUCAGGCUCUUCUGGCCUCGGGUGACCCUGCCCAGCACUCAGGUCUGCUUGCAGACCUGCUUCUGGCCCAUGGCCUGGGUCCCCUCCCCAAGAACAGAGCCCAGUACCGGGGCAGCCUGGGGUUGCCCCCUGAGGCCCCGCACCCUGGGGCUCUUCUGUCCUCCUCACAGAAGACGUGUGGCGUCCCAACGCUGCUCCCUCGAGUUUCUGGAAGACACAGUGGGAUGUCCCUCGGGUCAAAGAACCAAACACAUAUCCGGAUCGCCAAGACACAAAGGCCUGAAGAAGACACACUUCAUCAAGAACAUGCGGCAGUACGACACCAGGAACAGCAGGAUUGUGCUGAUCUGCGCCAGACGGUCCCUGUGCGCGGCCUUCUCAGUCCUGCCGUAUGGAGAAGGCCUGCGAGUCAGGUGAGCGGCUAA